AAGAAGAAGAGAUCAGCAGGCUUCUACCUUUAUCUAAAGCCCACUCAGCAGCCCCAAUCUGCAACCUUCCACUGGGCUCCAUAAACUGACCUACAACUCUGAUUCCUUUUCUGGAGGACUGCCAGGAAGAACAACACACCUAAAAGCUUUAGUUUAAAAAUGAGCAAACACACUAUGUUUGGUGUGAUUCUUUACAGAGAAGUAGAUAGCAAGAAAUACUCAAACUCAGAGCUGAAAUAAGUCAAUUAGUAACAAAGAAAACAAUACAAAGACUCAAUGAAAGAGUUGGUUCUUUGAGAUCAUGGAUAAGAAAUCCUUAUCCAAUCAAACUAAAAGGCAGAGACAAUAUCCAAAUUGCCAAAAUCGGAAAUCAAAAGGGGGCUAAAAACAACAGACAAUGAGGAAAACUAAAGAUAUGUUAGGUCUUACUUCAAAAACCUGUACUCCACAAAAUUGUAAAUUCUAAAUGAAAUGGACAAUUUUCUUGACAGAUACCAUUCGCCAAAGUUAAAUCAAGAUUGAAUAAACAAUUUAAAGAUUUAUUCUUAGAAUAAGCAGAAAAGGAAAGGCUAUGUCUUAACAAUGAUAUGUUUGUGUGUCAAUUUAUAUAGGGAUCAAUUAUCCCAGCUAGUUUUACCUGAAGUUGACAAGAGCUACAUUCAUCUGAAAGUUGGGAAUGUCAAUUAAGAAAAUCUGUCUAUAAGAUAAAACUGUAGAGCAUGUUCUUAACUAGGGAUUGAUGUGAGAAGGCCCAUUCCAUUGUGGACAGUGCUAUUGCAUGGCUGGUGGUACUCAGUUCUAUACGGAAGCAGGUUGCAGGCCAUAAAGAACAAGAGGAUAAGCAGCACGCCUCUGCGCAUCUGCAUUUUCUCCUGCCUCCAGGUAACUCCCCCGUUAGAAUUCCAUUCCUGAUUACCUUCAGUAAUAUGGAAGUAUAAGCCAAGUAAAUCCUUUUUUUCUCCAAUUUAUUUUUUAUUGUAGUGUUUUAUUGUAGCUAUAGAAGCCCUACCUAAGACAAGGCCUCUAUAGAGAGCCUCUUAGAGAUUGCUCCUGACACAAGUGUGCAUGCAAAAUGACAGACUAAGAAGACAAAAGUAUCAUCUACAACAGUUGGGUUAAGUGUCUCAUGUAUUCUUCAAUAAGACUGUGCCCAUCCUAAGUUAAAUACCAAACCAGGAAGAGAGAAUGAACUCAAAACAGGACUCUAGUGCUUUCCUAAAAAUGGACUCAUCAAGGUACAUAAAUGUAGAACAAAUUAUUUAGACUCUAAUCAUUGUUUCAAUAAAGCAAUUUGCUGUUCAAAGAACACAGGGAUCUUUGGAGAGGAGAGGCUGCUCAGAUUUACAUUAAAUGUGGUGCAGAAAAGAGAGAGUUAGGUUAAAAUCAGGUGGGUUCAUCUACAAUAGCAAGUUCUCUCUCUCUCUCUCUCUGUCUCUCUCUCUCUCUCUCUCUCAUUGUUUCAUUUUCAUUUUUCUCUUUUGACUAGUCAAAAUGAUUAAGUUUUAAGCCAGUGAUAUAUAGUAUAAAUUACCCUAGAUUAUGAUGAAAGUUUUAAUUAUUGCUUGCUAAGUUUUUUUGUAUAGAUAUAACUUCUUCCAAAAUGACACGGCAUUCCCUCUUAUUGUUUAUUCUGUAAAGAAAAAAUGGAUUAAUAGGCCAGAUGUAGUAGUGUAUAGAUCAAACAAAAUGUAAGAUUUGUUGUUUUGUUUUCCAAGUUCUUUCUAAACCAGAAACUUUUUUGCUACCUUUUGAAAAGUAUGUUCAAGUAGUCAUUGAGACCUGUGCCAAGAACCAGCCCAAGCUGAUGGCUGUGGUUAGUGGAAAUCUUAUUUGUUUUGGGAAUCAAAUCCAGUGGGGAGAAAAAAGGCAACUUUUGAACAAAAUUGUAAAAAGAAACAGGUCUAAAGAGAAAUUGAAAUAUUUAGUCCAAAGAAGAUAAUAAUGAUUAAGUGGAAAAUAAUGUUCAUACCCUCUUAUUUUGACUUUACAGACUGGAAUCUUUUUUAUGGUCCUAUAGUGCUGCCGUCACUGCGGAGAGUUGUGCUCCAUCAGCAGUAGUUUACUGAUGAUAUUUCUCUCAGUCUUGGGUUAAAUAGUGGCACCAAAAAUUAGUUGGUAAAUUUCUUUGAUAACUAUUUUGAGUGAAAAUUUGUCAACUAAUACAGGGCUUUACCUAGAAGAGCACUCCUAGUAAGUCUUUAGCUGGACAGUUCUAGCAGGGCAUGGCUAGUUUCUAAGCAUAGAGCUGAACUUGGCUCAAGAGGUCUCUCCUCCAGGUGCUGACAUGACCUUAUUUCUGAAUAAAUUGGCUUCAGUUUUGGAGGAAAUAUCAGCAUAGAUAUUUAUCCAAUCCCAAUCCAGGUCCAAAAGUACCAUAUUGAUUCCUACUUGGCAAAUUAAUGUAGAAAAUAACCUAGAAAAAAAUAGCCUUUUUAACUAACAGCCCUUAGUGAGCACUGAGUUUAUUGUUCUCCUACUUUAACAGCAUCUUCUUUCCCCUAAAGGACAACCACUUCAUUGUAUGUUUUUAAAUUGAAUUUCAACUUUUUAUGUAUAGUCCUCUCAGUGAAAACUUUUUAGAAUUGUUUUAUUUUCUGCUCAUGAUCAAAAAACAAUGUAGGCCAUAAAUAAAGUUUCACAAGUUUGGCAAGGUUAAUGGUAGUUUGCCACAGUUGUUAUUAAAAUAUUAUGGUGCUGAAUCAUCAAGCCUCUACAGGACCAAGCUUAUCCCCUCCCAUUGAGGGCAAACAAGGCCAUGUAUGUUCCUCAGUAGGUGGCUUAGUCUCUGGUAGCCCUGAGGGGUUUGAUGAGUUGAUACUAUUUAUCUUCCUAUGGGGUUACAAUCUUCUUCUGCUCCUUCAGUCCUUUCUCUAACUCUUCCAAAGGGGUCUCUGAUCUCUAUCCAAUGAUUGUCUGUAUCUGAAUCUGUCUCAGUUAGUUGUUGGUAGAGCCUCUCAGAGGACAGCCAUGUCAGACUCCUGUCUGCAAGCACAACAUGGCAUCAGCAAUAGUGUCGGAGUUUGGUGCCUGAGCAUGGAAUGGAUCCCAUGUUGGGCUGUCUCUGGAUGGCCUUUUCUUCAGUCUGCUCCAUUUUUUUCUCUGCAUUUCCUUUAGACAGGAACAAUUCUGGGUCAAAAACAUUGAGAUGAGUAGAUGGCCCCAGUUAUGAUGAAUGUUAUUUAACUUCUGUUUAAUGUUCUUUCAACUCGAGGUGUUCUUUGAAUAAUGUCAAGCAUCCCAAUAAUAUUUUGAAAUAAUAAGAUAGCACUUACCCACAAUUCUAUAGCCAUCUAAAUUUUAUUGCAUGGUACAUAAAUUACACAUUAAUUCUAUUUUUAUUUUCAUGAUAAAGUUUGGUUAUUUUUGCAUCUAAAAUUGUUAUUGGGAAAUUAUGUUUCCAUCAUAGAAGUUUAGAAACAAAAGGGAUAUUUCAAACAGCUAAAACAAAUAUCUUGUCCUGUCUAAAAGAACUACAGAGAUAAAAAUGGAGCAGGGACUGAAGGAAUGGCCAACCAACAACAAGCCCAACUCAAGACCCAUCCCCUGGGCAAAAACCAGUUCCUGACACAAUGAUACUCGGUUCUUGCAGACUGGAGCCUAGAAUAAUUGUCUUCUGAGAGGCUCUACCCAGCAGCUGAUGAAAACAAAUGCUGAUACCCACAGUCAAACAUUAGAAGGAGUGCUGCCUUAUCUGGCCUCAAUAGGAGAGAAUUUGCCAAACUCAGCAGAGACUUGAUAGUACCACAGUUGGAGGAUACCCAGGGAGGGACCAUGGAUGUAGUGAUGAGGCUGGAGAUGAAGAGCAGGUGAGGAUGAAGAAGUUGAGUAGAGUGCUUUGACUUCUACAACUAUCAAAAAUGCCCAUCUGACUGUUUUUCUCUCACUUCAGUUAAUGACUCAGGAAAUGGAACUCAGCUUGGUACUUACUUUGGAGCAUAGUUGCAGACCAAAUACACUGCUCGUCGCCACACAGAUCCCCAGACAUUCAUGUUUUGGAUCUCACGAUGGAUCUCAGGAUGGACUUUUCUGCCACCACCUCCUGUGCACUGAUUUACAAGUGUGAGCCAUCACAACGGGAUUUACACUCAGAGGAUGGGAACCUGACCAGUGCCAGCAUGUAUGAUUCACAAAAUCUACUGUUAUCAUUUCUAUUAUGUUAACACAGAUGUGUUUAUCUUUAUAUCCAUUUCAAAAUCUUAAAGAUAAUAAAUUUAAAUUUUGUG
RNAcentral lists this long non-coding RNA (4223 nucleotides) under Mus caroli (Ryukyu mouse). RNAcentral describes it as "predicted gene 28154 (MGP_CAROLIEiJ_G0002302.1)". The record is from RNAcentral. Lineage: Eukaryota; Metazoa; Chordata; Mammalia; Rodentia; Muridae.